RNAcentral lists this ribosomal RNA (300 nucleotides) under Triticum aestivum (bread wheat). RNAcentral describes it as "partial small subunit ribosomal RNA". Lineage: Eukaryota; Viridiplantae; Streptophyta; Magnoliopsida; Poales; Poaceae. The record is from RNAcentral.
AUGCGUAUACUUAGCUGGAACUGUUGUGGGAUUGGAAACAAUGCGACAGUUCAAGAGCUACGGACGUUAGUGCAACAGUUUGCCCCAUGGGUGCUAUGCCUGUAAGAAACUCAAGUAGUAUGGUUGAGAGCUAGGAAUCUAGCCUUUUCUUUUGGUUUCGGUAGAAGCUAUACCAUGGGUAGUAACGUUAGAAGUGGUGUAUUAGCUAUGUAUUGGAACAAUGAUAUUUCUCUUGAACUUAUUCAUUUUUCACAAUAUCACAUUGACAUUGUAGUUAUGAAGGGAGAAGAGGAACAAUAA